RNAcentral lists this ribosomal RNA (545 nucleotides) under uncultured Sphingomonas sp. Its description in RNAcentral is "bacterial SSU rRNA". It matches the Rfam family "Bacterial small subunit ribosomal RNA", at positions 28 to 619 of the family's 1533-position model. The record is from RNAcentral. Lineage: Bacteria; Pseudomonadati; Pseudomonadota; Alphaproteobacteria; Sphingomonadales; Sphingomonadaceae.
AACGACGCUGGCGGCAUGCUAACCCAUGCGAUUCAAACGAGAUCUUCGGAUCUACUGGCGCACUGGUGCGUAACGCGUGGGAAUCUGCCCUUGGGUUCGGAAUAACUUCUGGAAACGGAAGCUAAUACCGGAUGAUGACGUAAGUCCAAAGAUUUAUCGCCCAAGGAUGAGCCCGCGUAGAUUAGGUAGUUGGUGAGGUAAAGGCUCACCAAGCCGACGAUCCUUAGCUGGUCUGAGAGGAUGAUCAGCCACACUGGGACUGAGACACGGCCCAGACUCCUACGGGAGGCAGCAGUAGGGAAUAUUGGACAAUGGGCGAAAGCCUGAUCCAGCAAUGCCGCGUGAGUGAUGAAGGCCUUAGGGUUGUAAAGCUCUUUUACCCGGGAUGAUCAAUGACAGUACCGGGAGAAUAAGCUCCGGCUAACUCCGUGCCAGACAGCCGCGGUAAUACGGAGGGAGCUAGCAGUUGUUCGGAAUUACUGGGCGUAAAGCGCACGUAGGCGGCUAUUCAAGUCAGAGGUGAAAGCCCGGGGCUCAACCCCGGA